Molecule: transfer RNA, 68 nt
Filed under: Japanagallia spinosa
Lineage: Eukaryota; Metazoa; Arthropoda; Insecta; Hemiptera; Cicadellidae
Description: tRNA-Cys
Source: RNAcentral
AGUUUUAUAUUUUAUGAUGAAAAUUUUAAAUUGCAAAUUUAAAGAUGGUUAGGUUUAACUUAAAACUU